GACGAACGCUGGCGGCGUGCCUAAUACAUGCAAGUAGAACGCUGAAGGCGGAGCUUGCUUCUCUGGAUGAGUUGCGAACGGGUGAGUAACGCGUAGGUAACCUGCCUGGUAGCGGGGGAUAACUAUUUGAAACGAUAGCUAAUACCGCAUAAUAGUAGAUGUUGCAUGACAUUUGCUUAAAAGGUGCAAUUGCAUCACUACCAGAUGGACCUGCGUUGUAUUAGCUAGUUGGUGGGGUAACGGCUCACCAAGGCGACGAUACAUAGCCGACCUGAGAGGGUGAGCGGCCAAACUGGGACUGAGACACGGCCCAGACUCCUACGGGAGGCAGCAGUAGGGAAUCUUCGGCAAUGGACGGAAGUCUGACCGAGCAACGACGCGUGAGUGAAGAAGGUUUUCGGAUCGUAAAGCUCUGUUGUAAGAGAAGAACGAGUGUGAGAGUGGAAAGUUCACACUGUGACGGUAUCUUAACAGAAAGGGACGGCUAACUACGUG
This 495-nucleotide ribosomal RNA is filed under the name uncultured bacterium. RNAcentral describes it as "partial 16S ribosomal RNA". It matches the Rfam family "Bacterial small subunit ribosomal RNA", at positions 28 to 507 of the family's 1533-position model. The record is from RNAcentral.